This 202-nucleotide long non-coding RNA is filed under the name Pan troglodytes (chimpanzee). RNAcentral's name for it is "long non-coding RNA NONPTRT017499". The record is from RNAcentral. Lineage: Eukaryota; Metazoa; Chordata; Mammalia; Primates; Hominidae.
ACCUCCCCUCUGGCCAGAGACAUUCCAACCCCCGCAGUAAACUUCUCCUCCACACAGAAACAUUCCAAGCCUGUGGGUGCAGCACCUCGCCCUGCUCUCGUGUCUUCCUUCUCCAGCCAUGUACGACGUGCCUGCUUCCCCUUUGCCUUCUGCCAUGAUUAUGUUUCCUGAGGCCUCCCCAGCCAUGCUUCCUGUACAGCCU